UGACCUUUGAUAGUGACGGUUGUGUGCUUAACGGGUCGCGUUGUUUUAAAAUCUUUUCGAAUGAAGGCUCGUUGUUUUUGAGAAGCGUUUCGCGCAUCGCAUCACUUUCCAGGCAAGAUGUCAAGACUGAUGAUGCACAGAUGUUUUAUGUGCGAAACGUUUCAUAAUAAACUUCAUCAUUUUACAACUGGUAUCAUGGACACCCUCUGAAGAUUCGUAUAUAAUUUGUCCACUGAACGACUACAUAUCUCCUGAGAUGAUACUGAAACUUUUCUUCGUCCUCCUGUUCGCUUUCCGUCUUCGACUACAGGGAACUCACCACUUUGCGCAACUACUCAAGCACCGUUAUCCGCCCAUUACCAUCGCUACCUCAAGAAAACUGGAAAAGACGACUCUUCGACUCGAAAAGGCCAAGGCAGAUCUUGAUUUUCUCCAAUACUGCCAACUGAAUGAUGUCACUCAGAGAUUCGUCCGCUUCAGAUUGUAUAAAUCUGCUCUGUAUAACACUGAGUUCUACAAGGAUACACUUAGAACCCUGCUUAAGAACGAAAUUGAAUGUAAAAUCCGCUCUAUUAACCUGUUAACUGUUACCACAGAACAACUUAAGAAUGUUUUGUUUAAUGAUUUAUCCAUGGUUGAUCGUCUGCUUUAUCAGAGAUUGUUUUGUAGAUUUAUUAAUAACUAUAUCUCUGAGGUAUUUUCUAGACACCAGAAAAAACUGUUGAAUCUCGGUGUUGUUAUUCCCGAUUUCCAUUCUAGAAAUAAAUGAAUUUUUAACUUUUCCAGUUAUGUUUUAUCGAAGAGAGAAGAAUUCUUAUUAACUUUUGGGUUAGACUUUUGCUUACCCUUAUAUAGACCUAACUAUGCCAGGUUUUUCUUACCUCUUGAAACUAUGUUCAAAGAUUGAUAAAAUUUGAAUUUAACCAAGAUAUCGGUAAGCUCCAACAGAAAUAUCUAAUUUGGCUCACAAAACGUACUUGAAUUUAAGAACUAGUUGGACACCAUUUUUUAGAUCGUCAGAUCUGAAAAUACUAUUGAAGUUAAAGGAACAAGAAAACAUAAUUUUUUGUAAACCAGAUAAGGGCAAGGGGGUAGUUAUUAUGAAUAAGACUGAUUACAUACAAAAAAUGGAAACUAUUUUCUCCGACAAUUCCAAGUUUGUU
Molecule: long non-coding RNA, 1163 nt
Organism: Macrobrachium nipponense
Lineage: Eukaryota; Metazoa; Arthropoda; Malacostraca; Decapoda; Palaemonidae
Exons: 3
Source: RefSeq, a predicted model, not a curated record